Molecule: ribosomal RNA, 744 nt
Filed under: uncultured bacterium
Lineage: Bacteria
Description: bacterial SSU rRNA
Rfam family: Bacterial small subunit ribosomal RNA
Source: RNAcentral
AGAGUUUGAUCCUGGCUCAGAGCGAACGCUGGCGGCAGGCUUAGCACAUGCAAGUCGAGCGGGCGUAGCAAUACGUCAGCGGCAGACGGGUGAGUAACGCGUGGGAACGUACCUUUUGGUUCGGAACAACUGAGGGAAACUUCAGCUAAUACCGGAUAAGCCCUUACGGGGAAAGAUUUAUCGCCUUUAGAGCGGCCCGCGUCUGAUUAGCUAGUUGGUGAGGUAAAGGCUCACCAAGGCGACGAUCAGUAGCUGGUCUGAGAGGAUGAUCAGCCACAUUGGGACUGAGACACGGCCCAAACUCCUACGGGAGGCAGCAGUGGGGAAUCUUGCGCAAUGGGCGAAAGCCUGACGCAGCCAUGCCGCGUGAAUGAUGAAGGUCUUAGGAUUGUAAAAUUCUUUCACCGGGGACGAUAAUGACGGUACCCGGAGAAGAAGCCCCGGCUAACUUCGUGCCAGCAGCCGCGGUAAUACGAAGGGGGCUAGCGUUGCUCGGAAUUACUGGGCGUAAAGGGAGCGUAGGCGGACAUUUAAGUCAGGGGUGAAAUCCCGGGGCUCAACCUCGGAAUUGCCAUUGAUACUGGGUGUCUUGAGUGUGAGAGAGGUAUGUGGAACUCCGAGUGUAGAGGUGAAAUUCGUAGAUAUUCGGAAGAACACCAGUGGCGAAGGCGACAUACUGGCUCAUUACUGACGCUGAGGCUCGAAAGCGUGGGGAGCAAACAGGAUUAGAUACCCUGGUAGUCC